Molecule: unclassified non-coding RNA, 844 nt
Filed under: Hevea brasiliensis (rubber tree)
Lineage: Eukaryota; Viridiplantae; Streptophyta; Magnoliopsida; Malpighiales; Euphorbiaceae
Source: RNAcentral
CGGGACCGGAGUUGCCGGCGGAGCAGGAGACGACGACGCCGUGGCGGACGGCGCCGAAGGCGCCGAUGGCAAUUGAAUCACGGUAGAAGCUGGGGGCGUAUCCGUUGGCGCCGACGGAGAGGGAGAUGACGUCGACGCCAUCGGAGAUUGCAGCGUCCAUAGCUGCGAGGAUGUCGGAGUCGAAGCAGCCGGAGGCCCAGCAGAUCUUGUAGGCGGCGAUGCGGGCUUUGGCGGCCAUGCCGCGGGCCUCGCCGGUUGCGUAGGUGAAUAAGCCGGCGUUAGGGACGACUGCGCCGGCCGCGGUGGAGGAGGUGUGGGUGCCAUGGCCCUCGGUGUCUAGAGGGGAUUUUGAUUCCUUGGAUUCGUCGAUGGGGCGGCCGGUGCCGGACUCGUAGCCUUUGUAAAAGAAACGCGCUCCGAUAAGCUUGCGGUUGCAUGAAGUGGCGGGAAAGCCGGGGCCAGUCUCGCAGAUGCCUCGGAAGGAGCUGGGGGCAGGGAGGAGGGAGUCGUCGGAGAAAGAAGGGUGGUUGUGGGGCCAGACGCCGGUGUCGAGGAUGCCGACAAUAACGUCGGAGGCGUAGUCGGAGUUCGGCCAGAGGCCGGAGGUGUUGGAGAGGUGGAGGAAGGCGGGGGUGUGGGUGGUGUGUGGGUGGCGAGCGCGGUCGGGGAGGACGGCGAGGAUGGAGGGGGAGCGGCGGAGGGCGGCGGCUUGGGCGGCGGUGAGGCGGGCGGCAAAGCCGUGGGUGGCGCGGGAGUACGCGUAGAGGAUGCGGGGGACGGGGCGGCGGAGGUGGUGGGGGAGGGAGCGGAGGGUGUGGGUGUACCAGUGGAGGGGGGUGGCCAG